RNAcentral lists this ribosomal RNA (508 nucleotides) under uncultured Alphaproteobacteria bacterium. RNAcentral describes it as "bacterial SSU rRNA". It matches the Rfam family "Bacterial small subunit ribosomal RNA", at positions 337 to 865 of the family's 1533-position model. Lineage: Bacteria; Pseudomonadati; Pseudomonadota; Alphaproteobacteria. The record is from RNAcentral.
UCUUACGGGAGCAGCAGUGGGGAAUAUUGCGCAAUGGGGGAAAGCCUGAUCCACCCAUGCGGCGUGAGUGAUGAAGGUCUUAGGAUUGUAAAAUUCUUUCACCGGGGACGAUAAUGACGGUACCCCAAGAAGAAGCCCCGUCUAAUUUCGUCCCAGCAGCCGCGGUAAUACGAAGGGGGCAAGCGUUCUUCGGAAUUACUGGGCGUAAAGGGAGCGUAGGCGGACUUUUAAGUCAGGGGUAAAAUCCCGGGGCUCACCCUCGGAAUUGCCUUUAAUACUGGGUGUCUGGAGUCUGGGAGAGGUGAGUGUAACUCCGAGUGUAGAGGUGAAAUUCGUAGAUAUUCGGAAGAACACCAGUGGAGAAGGCGACACACUGGCUCAAUACUGACGCUGAGGCAAAAAAGCGUGGGGAGCCAACAGGAUUAGACCCCCUGGUACUCCCCGCCAUAAACGAUAAAUACCAGUGGUCGCGCUGCAUACACUUCGGUGCCGCAGCUAACGCAUAAGC